CAAAAUUGUCAAUUGAUCCCUUAAGGGGUUAUUGUCCUUUAAUGACAAUUUUUCACAAUUUGUUCAUCAUAUUUGCUAACUUUAAAAAAUCUUCUCCUCUAAAACUACUCAACCAAAUUCAACCAAACUUCAUUUGAAUGAUCAGUAGGGUGUAUAAAAUAAAGUUUGUGUUUUAUUUUCUAUUUCGUCAAAAAACAUGGCCGAAGGCAUUGUUUACCAGGUGAGCGAUUCAGGCUCUUGAGAGCCUCUUGUUUAUUAUUUGAUUUAUUUUUAUUUU
RNAcentral lists this long non-coding RNA (277 nucleotides) under Mytilus galloprovincialis (Mediterranean mussel). Lineage: Eukaryota; Metazoa; Mollusca; Bivalvia; Mytilida; Mytilidae. The record is from RNAcentral.